This 478-nucleotide ribosomal RNA is filed under the name uncultured bacterium. RNAcentral describes it as "partial 16S ribosomal RNA". It matches the Rfam family "Bacterial small subunit ribosomal RNA", at positions 28 to 523 of the family's 1533-position model. The record is from RNAcentral.
GACGAACGCUGGCGGCGUGCUUAACACAUGCAAGUCGAGCGAUGAAGCUCCUUCGGGAGUGGAUUAGCGGCGGACGGGUGAGUAACACGUGGGUAACCUGCCUCAUAGAGGGGAAUAGCCUUCCGAAAGGAAGAUUAAUACCGCAUAAGAUUGUAGUACCGCAUGGUACAGCAAUUAAAGGAGUAAUCCGCUAUGAGAUGGACCCGCGUCGCAUUAGCUAGUUGGUGAGGUAACGGCUCACCAAGGCGACGAUGCGUAGCCGACCUGGGAGGGUGAUCGGCCACAUUGGGACUGAGACACGGCCCAGACUCCUACGGGAGGCAGCAGUGGGGAAUAUUGCACAAUGGGGGAAACCCUGAUGCAGCAACGCCGCGUGAGUGAUGACGGUCUUCGGAUUGUAAAACUCUGUCUUCAGGGGCGAUAAUGACGGUACCUGAGGAGGAAGCCACGGCUAACUACGUGCCAGCCGCCGCCGUAA